This 378-nucleotide ribosomal RNA is filed under the name uncultured bacterium. RNAcentral's name for it is "bacterial SSU rRNA". It matches the Rfam family "Bacterial small subunit ribosomal RNA", at positions 523 to 898 of the family's 1533-position model. The record is from RNAcentral.
AGACAGAGGAUGCAAGCGUUAUCCGGAAUGAUUGGGCGUAAAGCGUCUGUAGGUGGCUUUUUAAGUUCGCUGUCAAAUACCAGGGCUCAACCCUGGACAGGUGGUGAAAACUACUAAGCUAGAGUACGGUAGGGGCAGAGGGAAUUUCCGGUGGAGCGAUGAAAUGCGUAGAGAUCGGAAGGAACACCAACGGCGAAAGCACUCUGCUGGGCCGACACUGACACUGAGAGACGAAAGCUAGGGGAGCGAAUGGGAUUAGAGACCCCAGUAGUCCUAGCCGUAAACGAUGGAUACUAAGUGGCUGUGCGUAUCGACCCGUGCAACGCUGUAGCUAACGCGUUAAGUAUCCCGCCUGGGGAGUACGUUCGCAAGAAUGAA